UUGAAUCAACGGUCUUGGAGUCCUCUUUGGAGUUGAUUCCUCGACCUUACCUACCCCUGUGCACUGUAAAUGUUUUUUGGGACGGUGCAGCAAUGCCUGUCCCAGCAGUACAAACUACAUGUAAUUUGUCUGAACUGAACCAAAGAAUCGUAA
Molecule: unclassified non-coding RNA, 153 nt
Filed under: soil metagenome
Description: partial internal transcribed spacer 1
Source: RNAcentral